RNAcentral lists this ribosomal RNA (253 nucleotides) under uncultured bacterium. Its description in RNAcentral is "partial 16S ribosomal RNA". It matches the Rfam family "Bacterial small subunit ribosomal RNA", at positions 524 to 776 of the family's 1533-position model. The record is from RNAcentral.
CACGUAGGGCGCAAGCGUUGUCCGGAAUUAUUGGGCGUAAAGAGCUCGUAGGUGGUUUGCUGCGUCCGCUGUGAAAACCCAAGGCUUAACCUUGGGCUUGCAGUGGAUACGGGCAGACUAGAGGUAGGUAGGGGAGAAUGGAAUUCCCGGUGUAGCGGUGAAAUGCGCAGAUAUCGGGAGGAACACCGGUAGCGAAGGCGGUUCUCUGGGCCUUACCUGACACUGAGGAGCGAAAGCGUGGGGAGCGAACAGG